UACGAAGGGGGCUAGCGUUGCUCGGAAUCACUGGGCGUAAAGGGUGCGUAGGCGGGUCUUUUAAGUCAGGGGUGAAAUCCUGGAGCUCAACUCCAGAACUGCCUUUGAUACUGAGGAUCUUGAGUUCGGGAGAGGUGAGUGGAACUGCGAGUGUAGAGGUGAAAUUCGUAGAUAUUCGCAAGAACACCAGUGGCGAAGGCGGCUCACUGGCCCGAUACUGACGCUGAGGCACGAAAGCGUGGGGAGCA
This 248-nucleotide ribosomal RNA is filed under the name uncultured bacterium. RNAcentral describes it as "partial 16S ribosomal RNA". It matches the Rfam family "Bacterial small subunit ribosomal RNA", at positions 524 to 770 of the family's 1533-position model. The record is from RNAcentral.